UGGAGAGUUUGAUCCUGGCUCAGGACGAACGCUGGCGGCGUGCUUAACACAUGCAAGUCGAACGCUGAAGCUUGGUGCUUGCACUGGGUGGAUGAGUGGCGAACGGGUGAGUAAUACGUGAGUAACCUGCCCUUGACUCUGGGAUAAGCCUGGGAAACUGGGUCUAAUACUGGAUACGACAUGUCACCGCAUGGUGGYGUGUGGAAAGGGUUUUACUGGUUUUGGAUGGGCUCACGGCCUAUCAGCUUGUUGGUGGGGUAAUGGCUCACCAAGGCGACGACGGGUAGCCGGCCUGAGAGGGUGACCGGCCACACUGGGACUGAGACACGGCCCAGACUCCUACGGGAGGCAGCAGUGGGGAAUAUUGCACAAUGGGCGAAAGCCUGAUGCAGCGACGCCGCGUGAGGGAUGACGGCCUUCGGGUUGUAAACCUCUUUCAGCACGGAAGAAGCGAAAGUGACGGUACGUGCAGAAGAAGCGCCGGCUAACUACGUGCCAGCAGCCGCGGUA
RNAcentral lists this ribosomal RNA (510 nucleotides) under Kocuria sp. IP6. Its description in RNAcentral is "bacterial SSU rRNA". It matches the Rfam family "Bacterial small subunit ribosomal RNA", at positions 1 to 522 of the family's 1533-position model. The record is from RNAcentral. Lineage: Bacteria; Bacillati; Actinomycetota; Actinomycetes; Micrococcales; Micrococcaceae. RNAcentral also lists the same sequence under 1 other name.